AAGGCUUUAUUUUAAUAAAAGAGUUUGAGUUGCAUUCAGAAGAUGUAGGYUAGUGUCCUGCAAGCUUUA
This 69-nucleotide transfer RNA is filed under the name Pristimantis museosus. Its description in RNAcentral is "tRNA-Ala". It matches the Rfam family "tRNA". From Rfam's summary of the family: Transfer RNA (tRNA) molecules are approximately 80 nucleotides in length. Their secondary structure includes four short double-helical elements and three loops (D, anti-codon, and T loops). The record is from RNAcentral. Lineage: Eukaryota; Metazoa; Chordata; Amphibia; Anura; Strabomantidae.